GAUCAAUCUUCACCACGAACUGAUGAUCAUGGAUGUCUUCUGAAGGUCUCUUAUAGCCGCAUGAGCAUUCGAUCUUUACGGAUAUCCAUACGAGACUUUGAUCUAAUUAUAAGCUUUUUGAUCUCAUCGGGGUGCUAGCUCCCUUGCAGAGAUCGCAUCUUGAUGGUUGAAAAUGUUCUUUUCUCUCUAGACAAUCUUAAAGAAGAAGAAGAACAUAGGAGGAUGUUGACUCCACGCUAG
Molecule: long non-coding RNA, 240 nt
Filed under: Elaeis guineensis (African oil palm)
Lineage: Eukaryota; Viridiplantae; Streptophyta; Magnoliopsida; Arecales; Arecaceae
Description: long non-coding RNA (EGUI_LNC001426)
Source: RNAcentral